ACGCAAGUAUUCACUAGUAAAAUUGAAGAUACAACACGUCAAAGAAAGAAAUUACAUUCACUCGACAAAUGGCUACAUUAACAACAAAAAGGAAACUACAGGGAAAGAAACAUAAAAAUACAGAUAGAUGAUGCAGCCAGCAUUCUAUCACACCAAUGCCAUUUAAGAGAAGCCCUCCUUUCCUGCACAAACUUGCACAUCCAUACGUGCUUUCCGUUGAUGGUAAACUUGGCCUUCUCCGAGCCAUCGAGAAUUUCCUGAACAACGUGGCUUUAAGGAACACGACUCAAGCAUAAAGUGGUUGCUCUUAAGGCCUAACCUUCUGCAUUGUGAAGGACUCUAUGCAAUUCCCAUAAACCAUUGCGAAGAAGUGCCUAAUUUCCAUUUCAGCCACUAGAUAACCCUUAGAAAAAGUUGCAAACAUAGUCCUGUCCUCUCAUGGUACCUCAUUUCUGAGUUGAUUUUUUUCUCGGGAAUGCAUUCCUUCCAACUCUCGUGUUAGAGAAGUUAUGGAUCAUCGACUCGUGGAAAUGACAUGACAUCAUCAUUUUCUCAACUUAAUUACUG
This 567-nucleotide long non-coding RNA is filed under the name Olea europaea subsp. europaea. The record is from RNAcentral. Lineage: Eukaryota; Viridiplantae; Streptophyta; Magnoliopsida; Lamiales; Oleaceae.